GUUUUUUUGGAUGGUGUUGCUCCAGUCAAUCAGGCUGGCAUUGACCACUACAACAAACUGAUCGAUGCACUGCUAAGCUAGAGAUUGCAGUUGAACCCGGAGAAUACGGUGGGCGUCAUGAUGAUGGCCAGCACGGACGUGCAUGUGCUCGUUACGCCCGCCAGCGACCUUGGGAUGAUCCUUGCCAGUAUGCACGGCAUGCAGGUUGUUAGUGAAGAUGGAUACAGAGUGAAGUGUGAACAGCCAUUUACAGAACCAGAUUUAG
This is a long non-coding RNA of Lolium rigidum, 265 nucleotides long. RefSeq lists it as uncharacterized. The record is from RefSeq and is a predicted model, not a curated record. NCBI's taxonomy places the organism in Eukaryota, Viridiplantae, Streptophyta, Magnoliopsida, Poales, Poaceae. The transcript has 3 exons.